UACAGAGGUCUCAAGCGUUGUUCGGAUUCAUUGGGCGUAAAGGGUGCGUAGGUGGCGAUGUAAGUCUGGUGUGAAAUUUCAGGGCUCAACCUUGAAACUGCAUUGGAUACUGCGUUGCUUGAGGAUUGUAGAGGAGAGUGGAAUUCACGGUGUAGCAGUGAAAUGCGUAGAUAUCGUGAGGAAGACCAGUUGCGAAGGCGACUCUCUGGGCAAUUCCUGACACUGAGGCACGAAGGCCAGGGGAGCAAACGGG
This 253-nucleotide ribosomal RNA is filed under the name uncultured bacterium. Its description in RNAcentral is "partial 16S ribosomal RNA". It matches the Rfam family "Bacterial small subunit ribosomal RNA", at positions 524 to 776 of the family's 1533-position model. The record is from RNAcentral.